GAUGAACGCUAGCGGCGUGCCUAACACAUGCAAGUCGAACGUGAAGCCGAUUGCGGUUGGUGGAAAGUGGCGGACGGGUGAGUAACACGUAAGUAACCUGCCUCAGAGUGGGGGAUAACCAUUGGAAACGAUGGCUAAUACCGCAUGGGUUUGCGGAAACGGGAGUUUCUGUAAAUAAAGCUCAGGCGCUUUGAGAGGGGCUUGCGCCCGAUUAGCUAGUUGGUGGGGUAAAGGCCUACCAAGGCGAUGAUCGGUAGCUGGUCUGAGAGGACGAUCAGCCACACGGGAACUGAGACACGGUCCCGACUCCUACGGGGGGCAGCAGUGAGGAAUAUUCGUCAAUGGGGGCAACCCUGAACGAGCAACGCCGCGUGGAGGAUGAAGGUUCUUGGAUUGUAAACUCCUUUUCUGUGGGAAGAGCAAGGACGGUACCACAGGAAUAAGUCACGGCUAACUACGUGCCAGCAGCCGCGGUAAUACGUAGGUGGCAAGCGUUAUCCGGAAUUACUGGGCGUAAAGCGCACGCAAGUGGUUACUUAAGUCUGAUGUGAAAGCUCCUGGCUUAACUGGGAGAGGUCGUUGGAAACUGGGUAACUUGAGGUGAUGAGAGGGGUGUGGAAUUCCCGGUGUAGUGGUGGAAUGCGUAGAUAUCGGGGGGAACACCAGUGGCGAAAGCGGCACCCUGGCAUUGACCUGACGCUCAGGUGCGAAAGCGUGGGUAGCGAACGGGAUUAGAUACCCCGGUAGUCCACGCUGUAAACGAUGAAUACUAGGUGUGGGUGAUAUCAAAUUAUCUGUGCCGAAGCUAACGCGAUAAGUAUUCCGCCUGGGGACUACGGCCGCAAGGCUAAAACUCAAAGGAAUUGACGGGGGCCCGCACAAGCAGCGGAGCGUGUGGUUUAAUUCGAUGCAACGCGAAAAACCUUACCUGGGUUUGACAUAUACGUAGUAGUGAAGCGAAAGCGGAACG
This 970-nucleotide ribosomal RNA is filed under the name uncultured bacterium. Its description in RNAcentral is "bacterial SSU rRNA". It matches the Rfam family "Bacterial small subunit ribosomal RNA", at positions 28 to 1014 of the family's 1533-position model. The record is from RNAcentral.